This 319-nucleotide ribosomal RNA is filed under the name Klebsiella variicola. RNAcentral's name for it is "partial 23S ribosomal RNA". It matches the Rfam family "Bacterial large subunit ribosomal RNA", at positions 2466 to 2784 of the family's 2925-position model. Lineage: Bacteria; Pseudomonadati; Pseudomonadota; Gammaproteobacteria; Enterobacterales; Enterobacteriaceae. The record is from RNAcentral.
CUCCGGGGAUAACAGGCUGAUACCGCCCAAGAGUUCAUAUCGACGGCGGGGUUUGGCACCUCGAUGUCGGCUCAUCACAUCCUGGGGCUGUAGUAGGUCCCAAGGGUUGGGCUGUUCGCCCAUUAAAGUGGUACGCGAGCUGGGUUCAGAACGUCGUGAGACAGUUCGGUCCCUAUCCGUCGCAGGCGUAGGAAAUUUGAGAAGACCUGUCCUUAGUACGAGAGGACCGGGAUGGACGUACCUCUGGUGUACCAGUUGUCCUGCCAAGGGCAUGGCUGGGUAGCUAUGUACGGAAUGGAUAAGCGCUGAAAGCAUCUAA